This 442-nucleotide ribosomal RNA is filed under the name Gloydius blomhoffii (mamushi). RNAcentral describes it as "partial 16S ribosomal RNA". It matches the Rfam family "Bacterial large subunit ribosomal RNA", at positions 1890 to 2592 of the family's 2925-position model. The record is from RNAcentral. Lineage: Eukaryota; Metazoa; Chordata; Lepidosauria; Squamata; Viperidae.
UAUUAAAGGCAAACGCUGCCCAGUGAAUAAUUAAACGGMCGCGGUAUCCUAACCGUGCAAAGGUAGCAUAAUCAUUUGUCUAUUAAUUGUAGACCUGUAUGAAAGGCAAAAUGAGAGCCCAACUGUCUCUUAUAACAAAUCAAUUAAACUGAUCUUCUAGUCCAAAAGCUAGAAUAUUUACAUAAGACCAGAAGACCCUGUGAAGCUUUAACUAACCUAUUAAACCUAAUAAUAACUACUUUCGGUUGGGGCGACCUUGGAAUAAAAAAGAACUUCCAAUCAAGACCCAGUAUUACUGAUAAUUGAAAUAAGUUACUCCAGGGAUAACAGCGCUAUCUUCUUCUAGAGCCCAUAUCAAAAAGAAGGUUUACGACCUCGAUGUUGGAUCAGGACAUCCCAGUAAUGCAACCGUUACUAAAGUUCCGUUUGUUCAACGAUUAAU